Molecule: ribosomal RNA, 253 nt
Filed under: uncultured bacterium
Lineage: Bacteria
Description: partial 16S ribosomal RNA
Rfam family: Bacterial small subunit ribosomal RNA
Source: RNAcentral
UACGAAGGGGGCUAGCGUUGUUCGGAAUUACUGGGCGUAAAGCGCACGUAGGCGGAUAUUUAAGUCAGGGGUGAAAUCCCAGAGCUCAACUCUGGAACUGCCUCUGAUACUGGGUAUCUUGAGUAUGGAAGAGGUGAGUGGAAUUGCGAGUGUAGAGGUGAAAUUCGUAGAUAUUCGCAGGAACACCAGUGGCGAAGGCGGCUCACUGGUCCAUAACUGACGCUGAGGUGCGAAAGCGUGGGGAGCGAACAGG